GGGUGGCAGCAGUCGAGAAUCUUUCACAAUGGGGGGCAACCCUGAUGGAGCGACGCCGCGUGGAGGAUAAGGUCUUCGGAUUGUAAACUCCUGUCAUGCGCGAACAAGGUUGCAGAGUUAAUAACUUUGCAAAUUGAUGGUACCGCAAGAGGAAGAGACGGCUAACUCUGUGCCAGCAGCCGCGGUAAUACAGAGGUCUCAAGCGUUGUUCGGAAUCACUGGGCGUAAAGGGUGCGUAGGUGGCGUGGUAAGUCAGAUGUGAAAGCCCGGGGCUCAACCCCGGAAUUGCAUCCGAUACUACCGUGCUAGAGUACUGAAGAGGAAACUAGAAUUCUCGGUGUAGCAGUGAAAUGCGUAGAUAUCGAGAGGAAUACCAAAGGCGAAGGCAGGUUUCUUGGCAGUACUGACACUGAGGCACGAAGGCCAGGGGAGCAAACGGGAUUAGAUACCCGGUAGUCCUGGCAGUAAACGUGCACACUUGGUGUGGGGGAAUUCGACCUCUUCCGCGCCGGAGCUAACGCGUUAAG
RNAcentral lists this ribosomal RNA (527 nucleotides) under uncultured bacterium. RNAcentral's name for it is "bacterial SSU rRNA". It matches the Rfam family "Bacterial small subunit ribosomal RNA", at positions 343 to 864 of the family's 1533-position model. The record is from RNAcentral.